RNAcentral lists this ribosomal RNA (757 nucleotides) under eukaryote SCGC AAA074-D10. Its description in RNAcentral is "bacterial SSU rRNA". It matches the Rfam family "Bacterial small subunit ribosomal RNA", at positions 71 to 859 of the family's 1533-position model. RNAcentral also lists the same sequence under 3 other names. The record is from RNAcentral.
GUAUACCCUUCGGGUGACUACUUUAGUGGCGAACGGGUGCGUAACACGUGAGAAUCUGCCUUUAGGAAGAGGAUAACUUUUAGAGAUAAAAGCUAAUACUUUAUAUGCCAUUGGUGAAAGAAGAAAUUCGCCUAAAGAGGAGCUCGCGUCUGAUUAGCUAGUUGGUGGGGUAAGAGCCUACCAAGGCGACGAUCAGUAGCUGGUUUGAGAGGAUGAUCAGCCACAUUGGAACUGAGACACGGUCCAGACUCCUACGGGAGGCAGCAGUAAGGAAUAUUCUGCAAUGGGCGCAAGCCUGACAGAGCAAUACCGCGUGAGGGACGACUGCCUACGGGUUGUAAACCUCUUUUCUCAAGGAGGAAGAACUGACGUUACUUGAGGAAUAAGCAACGGCUAACCCUGUGCCAGCAGCCGCGGUAAUACAGGGGUUGCAAGUUUUAUUCGGAAUCAUUGGGCGUAAAGCGUCUGCAGGUUGACAUAAAAGUCUUUUGUUAAAUAUCAGAGCUCAACUCGGAAUCUGCAAAAGAUACUAUAUGUCUUGAGUAUGGUAGAGGUAGGGGGAAUUUCCAGUGGAGCGGUGAAAUGCGUAGAUAUUGGAAAGAACACCGAUAGCGAAGGCACCCUACUGGGCCAUUACUGACACUCAGAGACGAAAGCUAGGGGAGCAAACGGGAUUAGAUACCCCGGUAGUCCUAGCCGUAAACGAUGGAUACUAGAUGUUGUGUACUUUAUUGUAUACAGUGUCGUAGCUAACGCG